GCCUUGUUUAGUUCCGAAAAAUUUUGGGAAAUGGACACUGUAGUAUUUUCGUUUGUAUUUGACAAAUAUUGUCCAAUCAUGGACUAACUAGGCUCAAAAGAUUCGUCUCGUCAAUUUCGACCAAACUGUGCAAUUAGUUUUUAUUUUCGUCUAUAUUUAAUACUCCAUGCAUGCGUUUAAAGAUUCGAUGUGACGGAGAAUGUGAAAAAUUUUGCAAAA
This 219-nucleotide long non-coding RNA is filed under the name Sorghum bicolor (sorghum). Its description in RNAcentral is "long non-coding RNA (SBIC_LNC013638)". Lineage: Eukaryota; Viridiplantae; Streptophyta; Magnoliopsida; Poales; Poaceae. The record is from RNAcentral.